Molecule: unclassified non-coding RNA, 2170 nt
Filed under: Leishmania donovani
Lineage: Eukaryota; Euglenozoa; Kinetoplastea; Trypanosomatida; Trypanosomatidae
Description: gene:LdHU3.12.0970(CDS-product:Protein_of_unknown _function_(DUF1448)_putative)
Source: RNAcentral
GCGCUCUCGGUUUCUCUCCCACACGGGCUGUCGCUGCGCCCGCACGCUGGCGCAGCAACUCUGGCUGGGAUAGGACGAAGCAGGCACCAUUCAUCCUUGAUUGUGCCGGAUCACGUGUGCGUGAGAGGGCGUCGUCCGCGUAGACACACAGCGGCGCGUUCUUAAUGCUUGUUCGAGAGAGCCGACUUGCACGAACGCCACAAGCAAACAAACAGCAACAAGAACGGGCACGCUGCGGGUGGGAGCCGUGUUCCUCGCAUGCACAUGUUAUUGAUCAGAGUGCAGGACGUCGUUGACUAACACGCACCCAAUAAAACAAAAAAGAAAAAAAAGCGGACGACGACUCAGCACCGGCGUUACCGACGCUUCGCGCUCUCGCCUCGCCUGGUUGCCGCUGAUACGUGAACGCGGCAAGCCACACGAAUGCGAAAGCGCCGCGGCGGCGGGGCGUCGUCCCCGUCAGGGACGGGCAGGGGCAUCACGAAGGCGUUCGCCUUCUGGCAAGACCGCGAAAUUCACUUUGACGCCGCAGCGCCGGUGCUGAGGCUGCGCGAGAACACCGAGCACGUCUACGCCACCUUCGAUGAUGUCGAAGACACGAAGGGCAACAACGGAUGUCCCGGUACGCUGCUGGUGACAAAUCUGCGGCUGAUCUGGCGGUGCAAGCAGCGGCCAAACGUGAACCUCAGCAUCGGUUACUACUGCGUGCAUAAGCUUACAGUGCAGGAGGCGGAGUCGAAACUGGCCGGCAGAAUGACGGAGUGCAUCACGCUUGGUGCCAAGUGCGGCGCUAGCCGCUUCCAAUUUAUCUUUUCUGUGGCACACAACGCCGGUGGCAUUGGCAGCAGCUCGGCUGCGAGCGUGAGCACGAGCGGCGGCGCCGCUGCUCAAAGAGACCGUGAGAACCGCUCUCGCCGGCGGUCAAGCAAUAGCACAGGAGACCACCAACGUCUGUACGCCACCAUUCGCGCUGUCUGGAACGCGUACGAGAGCACGCGAGUGUACCGUGAGCUCCGCGUGCGUAGCGCGGUGGUGCAGCACGGUAACCUUAUCCUCCUCGACGGCGAGAACGUCAUUUCCCGCACCAGCGGCGUAAGCAGCGUCAGCAAGGACGAAGGCCACCUCGGCACCUUCAUCGUGACGAAUAUCCGCGUCGUGUGGUUUGCGGCGGCAGAGUUCUUUAACGUGUCCGUGCCGUAUCUUCAGUUCGUCGGCCUGCGCUCACAGAUGAGCAAGUUCGGGCAGGCGCUGGUGAUCGAGACGUCCAGCUACGCCGGCAACUUUGUGCUGGGCUUCCGUGUUGACCCGGAGGAGAAGCUGAAUGAGAUGUACGCGGAAAUCAGCACGCUGUGGCGCACCUGGACGGCGCGGCCGCUGCUCGGCAUGAAGGUGGAGCUGCACGACGACACCGGCAAAGUAAUGGUGCCAGAGGCUCUCGGCGUGGGGGGAGGGGACGCCGGCGACAAGAGCGGGAGCGCAGAGCACCCUCACGGCGGCGGACUACCCGGCGCCGCCAGCGACGCGCAGCAUGAGCGGCAGAUGGAGGGACAGAACGUUCUGCAGGAGGUCCCGACGGACGCGCUGGCGGCCUACUACGCGGGUGGUGGCCGGAAAGGAGAGGAUCGGCGCCCCGUGUACGAGCCAUCUAUCGGCCUCGCCGUAGAGAAGCUGCGCAAGGGAACCACAAUCCAAAGUCUCUGGGACACCUCCAUAUCGUCCUGAUAUCGAAGGGCUCAGUGAAAGAGAGCGCCGUGCGAGCACACAACGCUCUCAUGUGUGCUCGGCGCGUUCUCGAGCGACAGCAGCGCAGGCGGGCACCGACGCCUUUGCCGUGUUCAGGUGCGUCUGCCGAUGGGGCUCGCCCUUCGCGUUGCGUUCGACAACGCCUACUCUGAAUCUUCCUGUGUAUCUCGUUGUGCGUGUAUGCUUAUGUCUGCCUCCCUCGUGUGUCUCCCUUCGCCGCGCUCACCACAUGGCGCACAGGACGACACGGGCGCAGCGCCACGAACGCGCCAGCGCCCCACCCCUUUCCCUCUCACAUGAUCGCCUUUGCCGGUCCUCUUUGUUUCAUCGCUUCCGAAGAUUGUCGUUGCUUCAUGUGUGUAUGUUUGUGCACGCGUGUGAGCGUGUGCACACCUUCUUUCUGGCGUAUGUGUGCGUUCUUCAGCAU